UACAGAGGGUGCGAGCGUUGUCCGGAAUCACUGGGCGUAAAGGGCGCGUAGGUGGCGCUCCAAGUCGAUGGUGAAAGCUCGUCGCUCAACGACGAGUCGGCCACCGAUACUGGAGGGCUCGAGCACUGUAGGGGCAGAUGGAAUUCCGGGUGUAGCGGUGGAAUGCGUAGAGAUCCGGAAGAACACCGGUGGCGAAGGCGGUCUGCUGGGCAGUAGCUGACACUGAGGCGCGACAGCGUGGGGAGCAAACAGG
Molecule: ribosomal RNA, 253 nt
Filed under: uncultured Gemmatimonas sp.
Lineage: Bacteria; Pseudomonadati; Gemmatimonadota; Gemmatimonadia; Gemmatimonadales; Gemmatimonadaceae
Description: partial 16S ribosomal RNA
Rfam family: Bacterial small subunit ribosomal RNA
Source: RNAcentral